CUGCCAGUGAUAAGCUGGAGGAAGGUGGGGANGANGUCAAGUCCUCAUGGCCCUUAUGUGUUGGGCUACACACGUGCUACAAUGGUACUUACAAUGAGAAGCAAAGACGCAAGUCCUAGCCAAUCUCUAAGAUGUACCUCAGUUCGGAUUGUACUCUGUAACUCGAGUGCAUGAAGCUGGAAUUGCUAGUAAUCGCGGAUCAGUGCGCCGCGGUGAAUACGUUCCCGGGUCUUGUACACACCGCCCGUCACACCAUGGAAGUUGGUUACACCUUAAGGCAAAGCUUAUACCUUUGACUACGGUACGAUCAGCAACUGGGGUGAAGUCGUAACAAGGUAGCC
RNAcentral lists this ribosomal RNA (341 nucleotides) under uncultured bacterium. Its description in RNAcentral is "bacterial SSU rRNA". It matches the Rfam family "Bacterial small subunit ribosomal RNA", at positions 1149 to 1501 of the family's 1533-position model. The record is from RNAcentral.